Molecule: transfer RNA, 72 nt
Filed under: Ovis aries (sheep)
Lineage: Eukaryota; Metazoa; Chordata; Mammalia; Artiodactyla; Bovidae
Rfam family: tRNA
About the family: Transfer RNA (tRNA) molecules are approximately 80 nucleotides in length.
Source: Rfam by way of RNAcentral
UCCCUGGUGGCUGAGAUGGUAAAGAAUCUGCCUGCAAUGCAGGAGACCCGAGUUCGAUCCUUGGAUUUGGAA